RNAcentral lists this ribosomal RNA (253 nucleotides) under uncultured bacterium. Its description in RNAcentral is "partial 16S ribosomal RNA". It matches the Rfam family "Bacterial small subunit ribosomal RNA", at positions 524 to 776 of the family's 1533-position model. The record is from RNAcentral.
UACGUAGGGGGCGAGCGUUGUCCGGAUUUAUUGGGCGUAAAGAGCGUGUAGGCGGCCAGGUAGGUCUGCCGUGAAAACUCGAGGCUCAACCUCGAGACGUCGGCGGAAACCAUCUGGCUAGAGUCCGGAAGAGGAGAGUGGAAUUCCUGGUGUAGCGGUGAAAUGCGCAGAUAUCAGGAAGAACACCCGUGGCGAAGGCGGCUCUCUGGGACGGUACUGACGCUGAGACGCGAAAGCGUGGGGAGCGAACAGG